RNAcentral lists this ribosomal RNA (253 nucleotides) under uncultured prokaryote. RNAcentral describes it as "partial 16S ribosomal RNA". It matches the Rfam family "Bacterial small subunit ribosomal RNA", at positions 524 to 776 of the family's 1533-position model. The record is from RNAcentral.
GACGAGGGAUCCUAGCGUUGUUCGGAAUUAUUGGGCGUAAAGCGGGCGUAGGCGGCUUUGUAAGUCGGGUGUGAAAUCCCUGGGCUCAACCCAGGACGUGCAUUCGAUACUGCUUAGCUUGAGUGUGGAAGAGGUGAGUGGAAUUCCUGGUGUAGUGGUGAAAUACGUAGAUAUCAGGAGGAACACCGGUGGCGAAAGCGGCUCACUGGUCCAACACUGACGCUGAAGCCCGAAAGCGUGGGGAUCAAACAGG